ACUUCUUCACGGUUGUUUACAUUCGCCGCCAUUGUUUGUGGUAGUCUGUGAGAAUGAAAUUUUUAACUUCAAAGCUUCGUCUGCUGGCUUUAGAAGCUUAUCUACCAGGAAGGAUUGGAAGGUAUUUUGAGAUUGACAGCUGGACUCUGCAAAUGGAAAAUGAUACACGGUGGUAGAAAACUGAGAGCUUUAAGUUCGAUCCGUACAGAAAACAGAACAACUGGUUUGGAAAUGCUAUCGAUGUGCUUAAAAUUUGUCGGGGAAGGAAAUUUUUAACUUCAAAGCUUCGUCUGCUGGCUUUAGAAGCUUAUCUACCAGGAAGGAUUGGAAGGUAUUUUGAGAUUGACUGCUGGGUUCGGCAAAUGGAAAAUGAUACACAGUGGUAGUUCGAUCCGUACAGAAAACAGAACAACUGGUUUGGAAAUGCUACCAGUGCAUUUAAAAUUUGUUGGAGAUAAAAGUUCUCUUUUUGGUUGCUGUGAAGAAGUUUGAAAAAAGGUGCAUUCCUUUGUAAUUCAUCUAUACUGUGUGUUUACAUUAUUAACUUGCUGAUCAUUAUGAAAAUCUUUCAAUAAAGCAUUUAAAGAUACCCGGGUUUAUUGCUCUGAAAUAUAGUUGCACAUAAACGAAAAAUUGCAAUUGAAGGAAAACAAAACUUCAAACUGCAUGAAAUGACUGUAAAGUUUUGUAACUUUUUUUAUUUAAAAAUAAUAAUUAAAAUGAUAACCAACUGUUGCUUUUUGGAAUAAAAAUUAUUUUAUUUAAUGACAAAUUUGUGUCCUUAAACUGUAUUUUACUAAAGGAUUAUC
Parasteatoda tepidariorum (common house spider) is the source of this 809-nucleotide long non-coding RNA. RefSeq lists it as uncharacterized. The record is from RefSeq and is a predicted model, not a curated record. Lineage: Eukaryota; Metazoa; Arthropoda; Arachnida; Araneae; Theridiidae.